Molecule: transfer RNA, 70 nt
Filed under: Branchiostegus argentatus (silver horsehead)
Lineage: Eukaryota; Metazoa; Chordata; Actinopteri; Malacanthidae
Description: tRNA-Pro
Rfam family: tRNA
About the family: Transfer RNA (tRNA) molecules are approximately 80 nucleotides in length. Their secondary structure includes four short double-helical elements and three loops (D, anti-codon, and T loops).
Source: RNAcentral
CAGAAAGUAGUUUUAAUGAGAAUGUUGGUUUUGGGGGCCAGUGGUGAGGGUUAAACUCCCUUCUUUCUGA